Molecule: ribosomal RNA, 328 nt
Filed under: uncultured eukaryote
Lineage: Eukaryota
Description: partial 18S ribosomal RNA
Rfam family: Eukaryotic small subunit ribosomal RNA
Source: RNAcentral
CCCUUAGAUGUUCUGGGCUGCACGCGCGCUACACUGAAGCGUUCAACGAGUAUUCACCUUGCCCGGGAGGGUUGGGUAAUCUUUUGAAAACGCUUCGUGAUGGGGAUAGAUUAUUGCAAUUAUUAAUCUUCAACGAGGAAUUCCUAGUAAGCGCGAGUCAUCAGCUCGUGCUGAUUACGUCCCUGCCCUUUGUACACACCGCCCGUCGCUCCUACCGAUUGAAUGAUCCGAUGAAUAUCAUGGAUUGAGGAUGCAAGUAGGUUAGCCUAUCUUCAUCUUCGAGAAGUGAAGUAAAUCUUAUCAUUUAGAGGAAGGAGAAGUCGUAACA